RNAcentral lists this ribosomal RNA (1094 nucleotides) under Anonchotaenia brasiliensis. Its description in RNAcentral is "partial 28S ribosomal RNA". It matches the Rfam family "Eukaryotic large subunit ribosomal RNA", at positions 44 to 931 of the family's 3401-position model. The record is from RNAcentral. Lineage: Eukaryota; Metazoa; Platyhelminthes; Cestoda; Cyclophyllidea; Paruterinidae.
CAAUAGGCGGAGGAGAAGAAACUAACCAGGAUUCCCCCAGUAACGGCGAGUGAAGAGGGAAGAGCCCAGCACCGAAGCCUGCGGCAGGUUUGCUGUUAGGCAAUGUGGUGUGUGGGUCGGCUGGCGGGACCGUCGUUCCACCCGAAGUCCAGCAUUGAGUAUGGUAACCACUGGAAUUGGCCCAUAGAGGGUGAGAGGCCCGUGCGGGUGGGAGUUCAGGCAUGUAAGACGGUUCACCAGGUCGACCUCAGAGUCGGGUUGUUUGAGAUUGCAGCCCAAAGUGGGUGGUAGACUCCAUCCAAGGCUAAAUACAGGCACGAGUCCGAUAGCGAACAAGUACCGUGAGGGAAAGUUGAAAAGUACUCUGAAGAGAGAGUAAACAGUACGUGAAACCGCAUGCAGGUAAACGGGUGGCGUCAAGCUGCAAGCCCGGAGGAUUCAGCUGGCUGGGUUGUAAUGUGCGUGCGCGAUUGCGCCUGUGGUGGCCGCUGCAUAGGCGGUCGCAUGGGCAAGAUGAGCUGUGCGGCGGUGACGGCGGCGGCGAGUGGUCCAUCCCUGAUGUGGGGGUGGGGGGUGGUCGGUCGGUCGGUCGGUCGGUCGGUCGGUCGNNNNNNNNNNNNNNNNNNNNNNNNNNNNNNNNNNNNNNNNNNNCGAAACCCCCAGGCGUAGUGAAAGUAAAGUUCGCGUCGUGCGUGCCCACGCGAAUGCGUGGUGCGGUGCGGUGUGGCGCGGCGAGGUGAGAUCCAACCUUGAGUCGGUCGUUGGUCGUGUGUGCGUGCGUGCGUGCGUGCGUGCGUGCGUGCGUGCGUGCGUUUGUCCGAUUGGUCGGCGGGUGGGCGCAUCACCGGCCCGUCCCAUGAUGUGGUUAUUGGUAAUGGCGUUGCUUUGCUGUGUGCAUGCGCAUGUGCGUGCGCACAUGCGCGUGGUAGUGCCGGCCAAUGCGUCAUCGGGGCGGAGCAUGAGCGCACAUGUUGAGACCCGAAAGAUGGUGAACUAUGCUUGCGUAGGUUGAAGCCAGAGGAAACUCUGGUGGAGGACCGUAGCGAUUCUGACGUGCAAAUCGAUCGUCAAACGCGAGUAUAGGGGCGAAAGAC